GCUAGGAUGAACGCUAGCGACAGGCUUAACACAUGCAAGUCGAGGGGCAGCACGGGAGUAGCAAUACUUGGUGGCGACCGGCGCACGGGUGAGUAACGCGUAUGCAACCUACCUAUCAGGAGGGGAAUAACCCGGCGAAAGUCGGACUAAUACCGCAUAAAACAGGGGCACCGCAUGGUGAUAUUUGUUAAAGAAAUUCGCUGAUAGAUGGGCAUGCGUUCCAUUAGGUAGUUGGUGAGGUAACGGCUCACCAAGCCGACGAUGGAUAGGGGAACUGAGAGGUUGGUCCCCCACACUGGUACUGAGACACGGACCAGACUCCUACGGGAGGCAGCAGUGAGGAAUAUUGGUCAAUGGGCGGGAGCCUGAACCAGCCAAGUCGCGUGAAGGAAGAAGGAUCUAUGGUUCGUAAACUUCUUUUGCAGGGGAAUAAAGUGCAGGACGUGUCCUGUUUUGUAUGUACCCUGAGAAUAAGGAUCGGCUAACUCCGUGCCAGCCGCUGC
This 503-nucleotide ribosomal RNA is filed under the name uncultured bacterium. Its description in RNAcentral is "bacterial SSU rRNA". It matches the Rfam family "Bacterial small subunit ribosomal RNA", at positions 26 to 518 of the family's 1533-position model. The record is from RNAcentral.